This 640-nucleotide unclassified non-coding RNA is filed under the name Candida albicans. Its description in RNAcentral is "sequence contains 18S rRNA gene, ITS1, 5.8S rRNA gene, ITS2, 28S rRNA gene". The stretch from base 306 to 461 matches the Rfam family "5.8S ribosomal RNA". The record is from RNAcentral. Lineage: Eukaryota; Fungi; Ascomycota; Pichiomycetes; Serinales; Debaryomycetaceae.
UUUGUCAGCUAAUACCGACUAUGAAUGGCUCAGUGAGGCCUCCGGAUAGGUUUAGGAAAGGGGGCAACCUCAUUACUGGAACCGAGAAGCUGGUCCAACUUGGUCAUUUAGAGGAAGUAAAAGUCGUAACAAGGUUUCCGUAGGUGAACCUGCGGAAGGAUCAUUACUGAUUUGCUUAAUUGCACCACAUGUGUUUUUCUUUGAAACAAACUUGCUUUGGCGGUGGGCCCAGCCUGCCGCCAGAGGUCUAAACUUACAACCAAUUUUUUAUCAACUUGUCACACCAGAUUAUUACUAAUAGUCAAAACUUUCAACAACGGAUCUCUUGGUUCUCGCAUCGAUGAAGAACGCAGACGAAAUGACGAUACGUAAUAUGAAUUGCAGAUAUUCGUGAAUCAUCGAAUCUAUGAACGCACAUUGCGCCCUCUGGUAUUCCGGAGGGCAUGCCUGUUUGAGCGUCGUUUCUCCCUCACAACCGCUGGGUUUGGUGUUGAGCAAUACGACUUGGGUUUGCUUGAAAGACGGUAGUGGUAAGGCGGGAUCGCUUUGACAAUGGCUUAGGUCAUAACCAAACAACAUUGCUUGCGGCGGAUAACGUCCACCACGUAUAUCUUCAAACUUACGACCUCAAAUCAGGUCC